Taeniopygia guttata (zebra finch) is the source of this 2011-nucleotide non-coding RNA. NCBI's taxonomy places the organism in Eukaryota, Metazoa, Chordata, Aves, Passeriformes, Estrildidae. The record is from RefSeq and is a predicted model, not a curated record.
AUGGAAUGAUAGAAUCAUAGACUCAUGGAAUUAUGGAAUUAUAGAAUCAUAGACUCAUGGAAUGAUGGAAUGAUAGAAUCAUAGACUCAUGGAAUUAUGGAAUUAUAGAAUCAUAGACUCAUGGAAUGAUGGAAUAAUAGAAUCCUGCAAUCACAGAGCUGGAAGUGACCCAGCUUGUAUCACAGAACACCUUCAUUCCAUGCACUACAAAAUUUUUUUUUUUUUUAAUGAUGGCUGGAAAAUCAUUUCCUAAGGCACGUGAACUCCAGCACAAAGAGCCUUUCCAUCCCCUUUGGAAGCACACAAAGUGUCCUUCAGAGCAUUUGCAUUGUCUUGGUUCACUUUGGCACAGAAACCCAGCCUGGUGUGGCUGGAAGGAGCCUGGAAAACCCUCUCAUCCCAGGAGCUGGGGCUGAGGCAGCUGGGGCUGACCCUCACUGCUUAUUUUAAUCUCCUGAUCGAUUGAGAAACUCGAUGAAGGGUGUGAAGGAAGGCGAACAAACCAGCAAAAGGUUGGGGAGAGAUAAACCCCCCUGGCUGCGCUGCUGCUGGAGUUUUUCAGCCUUUCCUUGCCGGGUUCAGCCGUGCGGGGCCGCUUUGAGCGCUCCCAUUGACGUCAAUGGAGCAUCUCACAUCCCAACCCUGCCUGGCUCCCUCCCAAAAUCCCUCCCGGCACCCCGGGAACCGCCUCGCCCGCCACAAUUAACAACAAGCCAAUUAGGGAUGCGAUAAAGUGCUAACACUGCUCCUAAAAUGCUGCAGUUUGCUUUUUUUUUUUUUUUCCGGAGGGGGGGAAAAAAAGCAAAUUUCGAACAGGCAAAAUUAUUGCUUGGCUUAAAAAUGGGUUUGAUAAUAAUUUUAUAGGGUCUACUCAUCAUUUUAUAGGGUCUGCUUCUCACCAGCUCCGAUUAUUUGAGUGGUUUUGUUGUUCUUUUAAUGUAAACUCUUAUUUAUAAGUAUCUUUUUUUUUUUUUUUUUUUUUUUAUGUAACUCUAAAUUCUAGGGCAGAAAAUGCCUGCGAGCCUUUCAGAGCAGUUUGGCUUUUUUUAGCUUUUUGUUGGAAGGAAGAGCCUGGGAAAAACGUGUUAAUUGUCUCCGUGUGGGAAUGGUGCAGAGGAGCUCCGCGGGAUGCAGGCGGUGACACGGAGCUGAUGGAUCCCUGCCGGGAGCCCUCAUCCCACCGAUCCUGUGGCUUUUCAGGGAUUGUCCCGGCUCAUCCAACCUUCCUGAGCUCAGGACAGCAUCUCCUCCGCCCCACGGGGCUGGGAAAAUGGGAAUUAGUGAGGGAAACGUGGCUGGGAAGGGGAAAAUCGUGUAGGGAAAAAUCAAAUUAUCUUCGCUCUCUGUAGUGCUAUGGGAAAUUCAACCCCCAAGAGGCUGGUCCUGGAUUCCCUGGGAUCUCCUGCCAAGUGGGAAAUGGACCUUCAGAGAAGGAAAUCAAAAUAAACCUGAGCUGGAGGCUGCUGAGCUCAGAAAGGGCAGCUGGGGCUGGGGCACUGCGGCUUCGCUGCGGGUUUAUCCCAAAUCAGCCCCUGGUUUAUCCCAAAUCAGCUCCUGGGUUUAUCCCAAAUCAGCUCCUGGGUUUAUCUUUAUUCCUGAAAUCAGCUCCUGGGUUUAUCCCAAAUCAGCUCCUGGGUUUAUCUUUAUCCCAAAAUCAGCUCCUGGGUUUAUCCCAAAAUCAGCCCCUGGGUUUAUCCCAAAUCAGCUCCUGGGUUAUUCCUGAAAUCAGCUCCUGGGUUAUUCCUGAAAUCAGCUCCUGGGUUUAUCCCAAAUCAGCUCCUGGGUUUAUCCCAAAUCAGCUCCUGGGUUUAUCCCAAAUCAGCUCCUGGGUUUAUCCCAAAUCAGCUCCUGGGUUUAUCCCAAAUCAGGGUUUAUCCCAAAUCAGCUCCUGGGUUUAUCCCAAAUCAGCUCCUGGGUUUAUCCCAAAUCAGCUCCUGGGUUUAUCCCAAAUCAGCUCCUGGGUUUAUCCCAAAAUCAGCUCCUGGGUUUAUCCCAAAUCAGCUCCUGGGUU